GAUGAACGCUGGCGGCGUGCCUAAUACAUGCAAGUCGAGCGAACAGACGAGGAGCUUUCUCCUCUGACGUUAGCGGCGGACGGGUGAGUAACACGUGGAUAACCUACCUAUAAGACUGGGAUAACUUCGGGAAACCGGAGCUAAUACCGGAUAAUAUAUUGAACCGCAUGGUUCAAUAGUGAAAGACGGUUUUGCUGUCACUUAUAGAUGGAUCCGCGCCGCAUUAGCUAGUUGGUAAGGUAACGGCUUACCAAGGCAACGAUGCGUAGCCGACCUGAGAGGGUGAUCGGCAACACUGGAACUGAGACACGGUCCAGACGCCUACGGGAGGCAGCAGUGGGGAAUAUUGGACAAUGGGCGAAAGCCUGAAAGAGCCAUGCAGCGUGGGAGAAGAAGGUCUUAGGAUUGUAAAGACCUGUUAGUGGGGAAGAACAAAAGUAAAAUAAGAUAGGGACGGCUUGACGGUACCAAAACAGAAAGAAACGGCUAACUUCGUG
Molecule: ribosomal RNA, 497 nt
Filed under: uncultured bacterium
Lineage: Bacteria
Description: partial 16S ribosomal RNA
Rfam family: Bacterial small subunit ribosomal RNA
Source: RNAcentral